RNAcentral lists this transfer RNA (69 nucleotides) under Girardinus metallicus (metallic livebearer). Its description in RNAcentral is "tRNA-Ala". It matches the Rfam family "tRNA". Rfam says of the family: Transfer RNA (tRNA) molecules are approximately 80 nucleotides in length. Lineage: Eukaryota; Metazoa; Chordata; Actinopteri; Cyprinodontiformes; Poeciliidae. The record is from RNAcentral.
AAGGCUUUAGCUUAAUUAAAGCGUCUGUUUUGCAAAUAGAAGAUGUGGGAUAAUAUCCUGUAAGUCUUA